This 301-nucleotide ribosomal RNA is filed under the name uncultured bacterium. RNAcentral describes it as "partial 16S ribosomal RNA". It matches the Rfam family "Bacterial small subunit ribosomal RNA", at positions 509 to 807 of the family's 1533-position model. The record is from RNAcentral.
CAGCAGCCGCGGUAAAACGGAGGGGGCUAGCGUUGUUCGGAAUUACUGGGCGUAAAGCGCGCGUAGGUGGUUCAUUAAGUUGGAUGUGAAAGCCCUGGGCUCAACCUGGGAACUGCAUCCAAAACUGGUGAGCUAGAGUACGGUAGAGGGUAGUGGAAUUUCCUGUGUAGCGGUGAAAUGCGUAGAUAUAGGAAGGAACACCAGUGGCGAAGGCGACUACCUGGACUGAUACUGACACUGAGGUGCGAAAGCGUGGGGAGCAAACAGGAUUAGAUACCCCAGUAGUCCCUGUCUCUUAUAC